AUAUAUACAAUCAGUUGCGCAGUGCACAACUUUCCACUACAACUUCUUUUGACUAUAACCUGCAGAUCCAAAACACAGUCAAAAAAAUGGGGUGUUCUCCUUCUGGACCUAAUCAAGUUAAUGAAACAGCAGUGACCAUAUCCUCAGGCCCUACACAGGCAGUACCACUGAUGACUGAAGAACAACGUGAAGAGCUAGAAGAAAUUGAUAAUAGUUUGAGGAGGAAAUUAGACAAGAUCUAUGCUGAGAUUCAAGAGCUGAAAGACCAAUUGGAAAAAGUAAAAGAUGAUGAGAGAGUGAAACAAUCUCUUCAGGGGAAAAUAGACAAACUAGAGGAGACUGCCAAAAAGAUUGAUGCACAGUUGGGAGAAUUGCGUAGAGUUUCUGAGAGAGAAACAGCGAAUAUGCUUACCAUUGCAAGAGAGGUAUUAGAUGAUGUGCAAGGUGUAUAGCCAUGUGAAAGGUGAGUGUAUUAAUAUUACCGAGAAUAAUAAUAUUAUUCCGAGAUGAAUAUGAAUACUAUAGACUAUAGCCCUUUCCUUGCCAUUCGUGAA
Molecule: long non-coding RNA, 554 nt
Organism: Halichondria panicea
Lineage: Eukaryota; Metazoa; Porifera; Demospongiae; Suberitida; Halichondriidae
Exons: 3
Source: RefSeq, a predicted model, not a curated record